GACUCAGGCCCAGCCCAACGCCCAGAGGGAUCCGAGGCUGCCUGUCCCGCGUCGCUCACCCCUGCUCCUCCAUGAGCUCGGAGAGCUCGAGGCAUUUCAGCUCGACUUUGCGCUUCCGUUCGUGGUCCAGGAUGUCUCUGUUGGGCCGCUUGGGCAGCGCGGCGGCGUCGGCACGGCGCAGCUCUUCGUCGGCGCGGGGCUCGGCUCGCUCCCUCUUGUGCCGCAGGGCCGACAGGUUGCGCUGCACGUAGCCGUUGGUGCCGCUGCCCCGCGGCGUCGGCAGCCCGAUCCCAUUGUACAUGGCGACCGCGCUGCCGCCCCUGCGGGGGGCCCCCACGUCAGCGCCCCCCCGGGCCCCACACCCACGCCGGACGGACCCUCUAUGGGACCCCGCUCGUCCCCAGGGAAUCCCCUAUGGGACGGCUAUGGAAUCCAUACAUCCCCAGGGAAUCCCCUAUGGGACGCCUAUGGAAUCCAUACAUCCCCAGGGAACCCCCUAUGGGACUCCGUUCAUCCCCAGGGAACCCCCUAUGGGACGACUAUGGAACCCAUACAUCCCCAGGGAACCCCCUAUGGGACGCCUAUGGAACCCAUACUUCCCCAGGGAACCCCCUAUGGGACGCCUAUGGAACCCAUACAUCUCCAGGGAACCCCCUACGGGACCCCGUUCAUGCCCAGGGAAUCCCCUAUGGGACGCCUAUGGAACCCAUACUUCCCCAGGGAAUCCCCUAUGGGACGCCUAUGGAACCCAAACUUCCCCAGGGAAUCCCCUAAGGAACCCAUCCAUCCCCAGGGAAACCCCUAUGGGACACCUAUGGAACCCAUCCAUCCCCAGGGAAUCCCCUAUGGGACGCCUAAGGAACCCAUACAUCCCCAGGGAAUCCCCUAUGGGACGCCUAUGGAACCCAUACAUCCCCAGGGAACCCCCUAUGGAGCCCCUAUGGAACCUAUACAUCCCCAGGGAACCCCCUAUGGAAUCCCUAUGGAACCCACACAGCCCCCUUUUCACCCCAAUAUUUCCUUCACAAAACGCACAAACCCCACUUUCCUUCACUAAAAUUCCACUUCUUUCCCUCAAAAUCCCCCCUUUUCCCUUCACAAUCUGACCCAAAUUUCACUGUUUCUCCCCAAAUGUUGCAUUUUUUCCCCUCAAAAUCCCCAAAUCCCACUUCUUCCCCUCAAAAUCCCAAUAUUUCCCCUCGCAAACUGCCCCAAAUCCACUUUUUUCCCCUCAAAAUCCCCCUUUCCCCCAAUAUUCCACAUUUUUCCUCACAAACUGCCCCAAAUCCCACUUUUUUCCCCUCAAAAUCCCCCUUUUCCCCCCUCAGAAAAUACCCAAAUUCUACUUUUUCCCCCAAUAUUCCACAUUUUUCCUCGCAAAAUGACCCAAAUCCCACUUUUUUCCCUUCAAAAUCCCACUUUUCCCUCACAAAUCCCACCUUUUCCAUUACAAACCACCCAAACUCCACUUUUUCCCCCACUAUUUUCCUCACAAACCCCCAAACUCCACUUUUUCUCCCCAAUAUUCCAUGCGUUUCCUCACAAAAUCCCCAAAUCUCACCGUUUACCCCUCAAAAUCCCACUUUUCCCCUCACAAACUGCCCCAAAACUCCUCUUUUUCUCCCCAAUAUUCCCUAUUUUUCCUCACAGAACGCCCAAAUCCCUCUUUCCUUCACCAAAAUCCCACUUUUCCCCUCACAAACUGCCCCAAAUCUCCACUUUUCAUCCCCAGUUUUCCCUUUUUCCUCACAAAACACACAAACCUCGCAUCCCUUCGCUGAAAUCCCACUUUUUCCCCUCAAAAUCCCAAUAUUUCCCCUUGCAAACUGCCCCCAAUCCACUUUUUUCCCCUCAAAAUCCCCCUUUUCCCCCAAUAUUCCACAUUUUUCCUCACAAACUGCCCCAAAUCCCACUUUUUUCCCCCCA
Phasianus colchicus (ring-necked pheasant) is the source of this 1926-nucleotide long non-coding RNA. The record is from Ensembl. NCBI's taxonomy places the organism in Eukaryota, Metazoa, Chordata, Aves, Galliformes, Phasianidae.